RNAcentral lists this ribosomal RNA (253 nucleotides) under uncultured bacterium. Its description in RNAcentral is "partial 16S ribosomal RNA". It matches the Rfam family "Bacterial small subunit ribosomal RNA", at positions 524 to 776 of the family's 1533-position model. The record is from RNAcentral.
GACGGAGGUUCCAAGCGUUGUUCGGAUUGACUGGGCGUAAAGGGAGCGCAGGCGGUUGAGUAAGUCUAAAGUGGAAGCCUGGGGCUUAACCCCAGAAGUGCUUUAGAUACUGCUCGGCUUGAGUAUGCCAGAGGAAAGCGGAAUUCAGGGUGUAGCGGUGAAAUGCUUAGAUAUCCUGAGGAACACCGGUGGCGAAAGCGGCUUUCUGGGGCAUUACUGACGCUCAGGCUCGAAAGCGUGGGGAGCAAACAGG